RNAcentral lists this ribosomal RNA (464 nucleotides) under uncultured bacterium. Its description in RNAcentral is "partial 16S ribosomal RNA". It matches the Rfam family "Bacterial small subunit ribosomal RNA", at positions 28 to 507 of the family's 1533-position model. The record is from RNAcentral.
GACGAACGCUGGCGGCGUGCUUAACACAUGCAAGUCGAGCGGUAAGGCCUCUUCGGGGGUACACGAGCGGCGAACGGGUGAGUAACACGUGGGUGACCUGCCCUCAGCUCUGGGAUAAGCCUGGGAAACUGGGUCUAAUACCGGAUAUGACCACAUGUUGCAUGGUGUGUGGUGGAAAGUUUUUUCGGCUGGGGAUGGGCCCGCGGCCUAUCAGCUUGUUGGUGGGGUGAUGGCCUACCAAGGCGACGACGGGUAGCCGGCCUGAGAGGGCGACCGGCCACACUGGGACUGAGACACGGCCCAGACUCCUACGGGAGGCAGCAGUGGGGAAUAGUGCGCAAUGGGCGGAAGCCUGACGCAGCGACGCCGCGUGGGGGAUGACGGCCUUCGGGUUGUAAACCUCUUUCGACCGGGACGAAGCGUAAGUGACGGUACCGGUAGAAGAAGCACCGGCCAACUACGUG